UGUUGUUGAAGUUAUUUGCAGUGGGCAAAAUUUGAAAUAACACCUUAUGCAGUGCUAGGUCAUUUUGUACCUUCAUUCAAGUUACCUUCAAUGCUCAGUUUCCUUCCAUUCAUUUUUUAUUCUAAUUACUCUUUCAGUGUAUGAUAACAGAUGCCAGACAUGACUGCAUUCUACAGUGACAGCUAUUUCUAUGAACAUACAACUUAACAGAGGUGGCCCAUGACUGUGUCAAAUCAUUGAUAAAUUGGUUUGAACAAAGAGGCAUCAAGAAUUCCUUUGACACCUGGCAUGAGAUGAUAUAGCUUUGGUCUUGGAAUGAGUUUAUUGAUGAUCAAGGAUGGUUCAAGGCAAAGUAUUAUUUCAGUUGCUUUUCCAUUUUCUGUUGAAAUGACUCCUUUUUUCAGUUGAUGAUGCUCAUUCAAUUCUCUUGAA
Long non-coding RNA from Stylophora pistillata, 432 nucleotides. Lineage: Eukaryota; Metazoa; Cnidaria; Anthozoa; Scleractinia; Pocilloporidae. The record is from RefSeq and is a predicted model, not a curated record.